Molecule: ribosomal RNA, 516 nt
Filed under: uncultured eukaryote
Lineage: Eukaryota
Description: SSU rRNA
Rfam family: Eukaryotic small subunit ribosomal RNA
Source: RNAcentral
GAAGGCAGCAGGCGCGCAAAUUGCCCAAUCCCGACACGGGGAGGCAGUGACAAGAAAUAACAACUCUUGGAUUUCUAAGAAGUGUAAUGAGGAUAAUUUACAACCCUUACCGAAAGCAAUUGGAGGGCAAGUCUGGUGCCAGCAGCCGCGGUAAUUCCAGCUCCAAUAGCGUAUAUUAAAGUUGUUGCAGUUAAAAAGCUCGUAGUUGAAGUUCUGAUUGUUCGGGCCUCGCGCUUUAUAGCCGAGGAACCGACAGUCAUCCGCUUGCAAAUAUAUGUUCGCCUUUAACCGGGUGGCUAUAUGAGUAAGCAAUUUACCUUGAGAAAAACAGAGUGUUCCAGGCAGGUUUGUCCGGAAUGCAUUAGCAUGGAAUAAUAGAAUAUGACUGAAGUCGAUUUAUUGGUUUAAGGCUUUAGUAAUGAUUAAUAGGAACAGUCGGGGGGCAUUGGUUACGUUGUACAGUCAGAGGUGAAAUUCUAGGAUUGUCAAAGACUAACAAAUGCGAAAGCAUUUGCC